UGACCUGGUCGAGCGGCCGCUGGUGCUUUUGGCACGAGAGGAAAGUCCGAGCCCCGCAGAGCAGGAUAACGGCUAACGGCCGCCGGGGGUGACCCCAGGGAAAGUGCAACAGAAAUAAACCGCCCAUUUCAUGGGUAAGGAUGGAACGGCGAGGUAAGAGCUCACCAGCAUGGUGGAGACAUCAUGGCUAUGUAAACCCUAUCCGGAGCAACACCGACUUGCGAGGCCUGCUCGGCCUGUGACGCAGAAGGGUGGCUGGAGCCGGUCAGCAAUGGCCGGCCUAGAUAGAUGGUCGCUUUAGAUGACAGAACUCGGCUUACACGCCAGGUCACACU
Molecule: RNase P RNA, 335 nt
Filed under: Clostridia bacterium
Lineage: Bacteria; Bacillati; Bacillota; Clostridia
Description: RNase P RNA component class A
Rfam family: Bacterial RNase P class A
About the family: Ribonuclease P (RNase P) is a ubiquitous endoribonuclease, found in archaea, bacteria and eukarya as well as chloroplasts and mitochondria.
Source: RNAcentral